This 8351-nucleotide unclassified non-coding RNA is filed under the name Rhagoletis pomonella (apple maggot). Its description in RNAcentral is "probable ubiquitin carboxyl-terminal hydrolase FAF, transcript variant X1". The record is from RNAcentral. Lineage: Eukaryota; Metazoa; Arthropoda; Insecta; Diptera; Tephritidae.
AUGACGUUUGAUACACGCGGACGCCAGACCGGUGGAGGUGGAGGUGGCGGUGGUACCGGUAACGACAAUUCCAAUGUCGGCACGAACAAUACAAACAGCAACUUAAACAGUAAUAGCAGCACCUCACUUGGAUCUACUGGUAGUGUCAGUGGUAUCGGCGGCGGUGGAGGUGGCAAUAGCGGUAGCGUAGAACAACCGCCACCUGCUUCAGUGAAUACAGACGCAACUCCACAGGGUACUGAGGGAAGCGUCACUUCGUCGGCAGUGGACAACAUAACACCAGAAAAGUUAAUAUCAUCGUUCCCAACGUUGAAAUUGCGUUCUCUAACGCAGAAGAUCUCGAAUCCACGCUGGGUGGUACCAGUGUUGCCUGAACAGGAGUUGGAAGUGUUGCUAAAUGCAGCUAUUGCACUAACUGCAGCAGGUGUCGAUCAUGAUUGUGAACCAUGCGUAGAAUUUUAUCGCAACGCUCUAACCACGUCGUUUUCGAAGAUCCUCACCGACGAGGCAGUAAAUUCGUGGAAAUAUAAUAUCCAUCAUUGCAUUUUAUUGUCUUGCGGCAAAUUAUUGCAUUUAAUUGCCAUACAUAUGUCGCGCGAUAAUCCUUAUCUGUUGGAUUUGCUUGCCAUGGUAUUUGAUCCGGAAAAUAAGUUCAACACAUUUAAUGCUGCCCGUCAACCGGCUUGUUUUGCACCUCCGGAAUCGCUCUGGGGUGUCUUGGACGGCAACAAGAUGUUUGCUAAACCCCCGCCAGAGCCUAAAAAUCCUCGAGGCUGGCUAGUUGAUUUGAUCAAUCGUUUCGGUCAGUUGAGUGGUUUUGACAAUCUAUUGGAGCGGUUUAAUUGCGGUUUGCAACUGCUAAAAAAGAACCAAGAGAAUAGCGGCGUCGAGUCGUCGGGUUCUGGCUUAGAUUUGAGAAGCAAGACAAGCAAGUCAUCUCAAGUGUCCGAUGAUAAUCAGGAUAACAAAUUAACACUAGCGCUGAUCUUCAGUCUACUGCGACCAUUCGGCCAAUGUUAUGAGCUGUUGACACCUGCUACCAUCGCUAAGUACUUCAUGCCGAUUUGGAAUGUUGUAUUGGAUUUGUUGGAUAGUUUCUCCGAUGAUGAAUUGAAGCGUGAAGCGAAACCGGAGGGACGCAACGACUACAUUAACGGCAUUGUAAAGUCGGCACGUUUAUUGGCGAGUCGUUUGCCCGGGCAAGAGGAUUUGAUUCGCGAUCUGGAAAUGUUUCGACUAAAAAUGAUAUUGCGUUUGCUGCAAGUUUCAAGCUUCAACGGAAAAAUGAAUGCACUCAAUGAAAUCAAUAAGGUGCUUAGCUCUGUGUCGUAUUAUUCGCAUCGUACGCAGCAAUUGCAACAUUGCUUGCCGGAUGAUGAAAUGGACUGGUUGACGGCAGAACGCAUGGCGAAUUGGAUCAAAGACUCUGAUGUGUUGGGAAUCGUUCUCAAAGACUCAUUGCAUCAGCCCCAAUAUGUGGAAAAGCUUGAAAAGAUCAUACGCUUUUUGAUCAAAGAACAUGCCUUGACUCUGGAGGAUUUGGAUGCCGUAUGGCGUGCACAGGCUGGCAAGCAUGAGGCGAUUGUGAAGAAUGUCCAUGAUCUUUUGGCAAAAUUGGCUUGGGAUUUUACCCCCGAACAGCUGGAUCACCUCUUCGAAUCGUUUCAGGCCAGCAUGACAACCGCCAAUAAGCGGCAGCGCGAACGCCUGCUAGAACUGAUACGACGGCUCGCUGAGGACGAUAAAAACGGUGUAAUGGCACAAAAAGUUUUGAAACUUUUCUGGACGCUCGCACACAGCCAAGAAAUACCGCCAGAAGUAUUAGAUCAAGCCUUAGCGGCCCAUGUAAAGAUCUUGGACUACAGUUGCUCGCAGGAGCGUGAUGCACAAAAGAUUGUGUGGUUGGAUAAAUGCGUACAGGAGUUGAAAACUGGCGACAAUUGGGUGCUGCCAGCCUUGCGGUUGAUACGUGAAAUCUGUUGUCUUUAUGAUUCGUCGCCCAGUCAUGCGCCGCGCACGCAACAAACACUUAAUCGUCAACAAGUGAUAGAAAGAUUGCAAAAUGACUACACUUUGGUUAUACUUGUAACGAAUAGCUUAACCACAUACAUGGAUAAAAUUCGUACGAUGAUUGCUGAGAUGCCGAACGUCGAACCGAAUGCAUUAUGCAUCGAUGGACGUUAUCCACACAAUAUGCAAAUACAAGAGCGAUUGGAUUUUCUCAAAUUCCUGCUGAAGGAUGGCCAGUUGUGGUUGUGUGCCGAACAAGCUAAGCAAAUUUGGCACUGUUUGGCCGUAAAUGCCGUAUUUCCAUCUGAUCGCGAAGAAUGUUUUCGAUGGUUUGGCAAAUUGAUGGGAGAAGAACCGGAUUUGGAUCCAGGCAUAAAUAAAGACUUUUUCGAAAAUAAUAUUUUGCAAUUGGACCCCCAAUUGUUGACGGAAAGUGGCAUCAAAUGCUUCGAACGCUUCUUCAAGGCCGUCAACUCGAAGGAGGAUAAACUUAAAGCAAUUCACCGUGGCUACAUACUUGACAAUGAGGACCUCAUCGGUAAGGACUAUCUGUGGCGAGUGAUCACCACUGGCGGUGAGGAAAUCGCCAAUAAGGCUAUUGAUCUUCUAAAAGAGGUUUCAACAGCACUUGGGCCACGCCUACAGGAGAGCAUUUGUGACUUUCAUGAAAUGUUUAUUGCUGAAUGUUGCGAACGAUUGCGCACUCAUUACAGUAACAUAAUCAUUUUGGGUAAGACAAUUGGCGGCAACAGUUCAAAUGAUCCUAGUCAAGCCGAUGCUGAUUCGAAAGACAUAAAGGAUCGCUUCAUUGAGGCUGAGAAGAUGUGCCGUAUUAUAAAAGUAUUGCAAGAGUAUAUAAAAGAAUGUGAUCGUUCGUUUAAUGGUGAUCGCUAUCUAUUGCCAUUAAGUCGCGUGACUCGCGGCAAAAAUACUAGUCUCUAUAUACGCUUUCAAAAUCCCGGUCGACCCAUUGAUGACAUUGAAGUGACAACACACAGUAACGAAACGGUGGCCUCGUUCAAGCGCAAUCUACUGAAACGCAUCAAAGGCAACUCGCCAGCAAAUAUAAAGGUUGAUUUAUUCUACAAUAAUGGCGAACUGAUUGAGAUUACCGAUGAGAUCAAUCCCCUCUACCAGUACACUAUACGCGACAAAAUGAUUCUCACAGCAAAACUGACACCAAUUGGCCCGGGCCUGGCUAGUAGCCCAGAUUCAUCGAGCGAUUCGAGUACCGGUUCACCGCCACGACCCUGCCCCGACAUGCAGCGCGUCGAGUCAGAAAGCACGCUGCCCGGUGUGAUUAUCGCCCAGAAUUACAAGUAUACUGAGUUUUUCCUAAAGCUCUAUCAACUGGGCAGCGAUCUUGAUCAUGGGCGUUUGCGUGAGAGCGCAAAAUUGCUGCUGCAUUUGCUGCCGUGCGAUUGGCACACAAUAAAGAUGCUGCAGACGAUGUGCCGCGUGCAGGGACAGAUGCAGAGCGGUGGUGGUGGUGGUGGCAGUGCAGCUGUGAGUGUGGGAGUUGGUUCUGGUAGCAGCGCUGUACAAAGUGGCGCCAAAGACGAAGAGGCUGAUGUUGUUGGCGUUGGCUCCGGCAGCGUGGUUAGCAGUGGUGUUGUUAGCGGCAGCACUGGAGUGCAAAACACAACAACAUUUGAUAGUGAUCAACUAAAUCCACAAGAAUGCACGCCAGAAAUGUUAUUCUUGCAUGGUACUCCCGCGCAAGUAUUGUACAACUUGGGUGUUUUGAAUGGCCUACUCAUACCCGCAUUGGAUCCUUACGGCGAGGCGGCACUGCAAGUGCAAUCUGCUUGGCUGCACUCGGGUUGCGCGCAUUUCAUUUUGGAGUUACUAACCAAAAAUAAUUUCCUACCCAAUGCUGAUAUGCACACCAAACGUGCUGCGUUUCAUUGUGUGUUGCGUCUGGCCAGGUUGUUCCUCUACACUGUUGGCUAUGUGCUAUCACGUGUCGGCGACGAGCCAAUGCUUCGUGACUUUGAUGUUGGCGCACGCUCACAAGUCGAAAUACUUAAGCAAAUACUGAGCUCAAUACCGAAUAAUUCGGAGAGCACCAUGCGCGCUAUUUCCACGAAGUUAGCUGAAAUUUUAGCUGCGGAAAUGCUUUCGGCCAGUGCCGAAGGCGAACGCUGUCGCAUCCUAUUUAGUUCGACGUUGCAAUGGUCCUCUCCGGACAUUACGACUAUUAAGGCAGUCAUACAAUUGGCUUGGUCGUCAUCCUGUGGCAAUCUGCAGGCGCUUGGUAAUAAGAAUGACUUCGCUAACGACAUCACAAUGCCGGAUGCACAAGAUUUCGCAAUGUGCAAAGAGGCUUUAGAAGUGCUAACCAUUUCAUUGGUGCUUAAUCCGAGUGCUAACGAGGCGUUGAGUAACGAUCCCAUUUGGCCGAAAUUCAUUACAUCGCUUAUACUAAAGAAUCCAUCGCGCCAUGUGCGUCAAAUAGCAGCUGACCAGCUGUUUCUUUCGUGCACCUAUUGCGCCGGCGACCGACGUCCAUUCGCUUACAUGGUAAAUCUGCUCGUAAAUUCAUUGAAGGUACUGGUGCCGCAAUACGAGGCCACAUGCGCUGACUUCUUUCAACUGUUGUGCCGCACACUCUCGUACGGAAGCGUAUGUAAUUGGCCGCUCAACAUCGGCGAUGGUCUGCUGACUGAGGAGAUCAAUUGGUUGCAAAAGAUACGCGAGAAUGUUUUAGUCACCGGCGAUAUACAGGUGCAUGAAGAUUUGUUGGAGGGACAUCUGUGCUUGGCCAAAGAGUUGAUGUUUUUCUUGUCGCCCGAAACCAAAGCGCAACUUACCGAUCUGAUAGAUGAGGUUAUUGAUAUCUUUCUGUUCCCAUCAUCACGAGAGUAUCUCCACUUGCGAAAGUUCAAUAAGCUGAGGAACCCAACCUCGCCACCACCCGUCUGUCGCAGUCCGCACACCAUAGCAGCGGCUUGUGAUUUGUUGAUAGCACUUUGUCAGAAUUCUGUUCCUAACAUGAAGCUGCUAACUAAUACGCUUAUAGAUUUCGUAUGCACAGAUACGGAGCCGUUACGCGAAUGGGACUUCUUACCGCCAGUUGGGCCGCGACCGAUAAAAGGAUUUUGUGGUUUGAAAAAUGCCGGUGCCACGUGUUACAUGAAUUCGGUGCUGCAACAAUUAUAUAUGGUGCCAUCCAUACGCGUCGGCAUACUGAAAGCUGAUGGCGCUGCUACAAUUGAGAAUGAGGAUUUUAGUGGUGAGUCUGAUGUGGCCAGUAUUAAUAGUGCGUUAUUCUCCAGUCCUGGUAGCGGUGAAGACAAUAGCAGCACUGAUGUGCGAAAAAACUAUCAUGUGGUGAUAUUGAAGUAUGUGCAGGCGAUAUUUGCCCAUUUGGGUCACAGUGCACUGCAAUACUAUGUGCCGCGUGGCCUUUGGGCGUACUUCAAAUUACAAGGCGAACCCGUGAAUUUACGUGAGCAACAAGAUGCUGUUGAAUUUUUCAUGUCACUAUUCGAAAGCCUGGAUGAAGGUCUCAAGGCUUUAGGUCAUACUCAACUAAUGAAUGCCACUUUGGGUGGUUCAUUUAGCGAUCAAAAGAUUUGCCAAGAAUGUCCGCAUCGAUAUUCCAAGGAGGAGCCAUUCAGUGUGUUCAGCGUGGAUAUUCGAAAUCAUAGCUCACUAACCGAAUCGUUGGAGCAGUAUGUAAAGGGUGAACUUCUAGAGGGAGCUGAUGCAUACCAUUGUGAUAAAUGUGAUAAAAAAGUAGUUACAGUUAAGCGGUUGUGUGUAAGAAAACUACCGCCUGUGUUAGCCAUUCAAUUAAAACGUUUCGAAUACGAUUACGAGCGCGUUUGCGCUAUUAAAUUUAACGAUUACUUUGAGUUCCCACGUGUACUCGAUAUGGAACCAUAUACAGUAUCUGGCUUAGCCAAACUGGAGGGUGAAGUCGUCGAGGUGGGCGAUAAUUGCCAAUCAAAUGGCGAAACUACCAAAUAUGAGUUAACUGGCAUUGUGGUACAUAGCGGACAGGCCUCCGGUGGCCAUUACUUUAGUUACAUACUUUCUAAGAAUCCCUCCACUGGUAAGGAGCAAUGGUAUAAAUUCGACGAUGGUGAGGUGAGCGAAUGCAAAAUGCACGAGGAUGAAGAGUUGAAAGCACAAUGCUUUGGCGGUGAUUACAUGGGCGAGAUUUAUGAUAAUAAUUUGAAGCGCAUGCAAUACAGACGUCAAAAGCGAUGGUGGAAUGCAUAUAUGCUGUUCUAUACACGUUACGAUCAAAAGCCUGUACAAUUUGAACCUUGUGUGGAGCAAUUGUCAUUGGCAGAAAGUCGCAAUUUCGUAUUGCCGCUGCCAAAGCCGAUCGAGCGCAGUGUACGCCAUCAAAAUAUACGAUUUUUACACUCAAAGAGCAUAUUCUCUGUGGAAUUCUUCAAUUUCAUUAAGAAAUUAGUUAGCUGCAGUAUUCCUUCAACACGUCCCGAUAAAAUGACACCAGCUGCUGAAGAACUUUCAUUGUUGGGUGUGCAAUUAGCAUCGCAAUUCUUAUUCCACACAGGUUUUAGAACGAAAAAAUCGCUGCGUGGACCUGUUAUAGAAUGGUAUGAUACACUAUCACAUCACAUUCGCUUCUCCUCAUUGGUGCGCAAAUGGUUUGCAAAUAAUGCGCUUCUCAAUCCUGCGUCUCGUCUCGGCGAAUAUAUCUUAAUGGCUCCAUCACCGGAGGUACGCACUGUAUUUGUAAAGUUGGUAGUUUUCUUCUGCCACUUUGCUAUAGCCGACGAGCCGCUGGCUGGCUACGAAGGCAGCAAUCUGUGUGAACAGAUUUUGAUUAGCGUAUUGGAACUGCUGAAGUGUGAGGCUGUCGACUAUGGCAAGCAUUUGCCACACUACUUCAGUUUAUUCAGCAUGUACGUGGGCUUGGGUAUACCAGAAAAGCAGCAGUUGUUGAAGUUGAAUGUGCCCUUUAUAUUCAUGCAAGUCGCUUUGGAUGAAGGUCCUGGUCCAUCGAUAAAAUACCAGUAUCCCGAACUGAGCAAGUUGCAUCAGGUCGUUUCGCAUUUAAUACGUUGCAGCGAUAUCUCUGACAAGUGCCAGAAUUCGAAUCAAAAUGCACAACCUCUUGAGAAUCCAUACAAAGAUCCAAAUAUAAGGCGCGAGGAGCUCAUGCCAUUAUCGCCAGAAUGUGCGGACAUACUCUUUAAUCGUACUGGUUACAUUAAGAAGCUAAUAGAGGACACAGCUGUUGGUGAGGAAGGUAUCAAGCUACUACAGUACUGCAGCUGGGAAAAUCCACAUUUCUCACGUGCCGUACUAACAGAACUGCUGUGGCAAUGCGGUUUCGCUUAUUGCCACGAUAUGCGCCAUCACACCGAACUGUUGCUGCAUAUAUUACUAAUCGAGGAUUCGUGGCAACAUCAUCGCAUACAUAAUGCGCUCAACGGUGUAGCGGAGGAGCGCGAAGGCUUGCUGGAGACGAUACAGCGCACAAAGACACAUUAUCAAAAGCGCGCAUACCAAAUAAUCAAAUGCCUUACACAACUAUUCCACAAAUCACAGGUGGCCCUACAGAUGCUGAACUCGAACGCCAGUAUCGCACGGCACUGGACCAUGGCAGUGGAAUGGUUGCAAGAUGAAUUGGAACGGCAACGUAGUUGUCAAUACAAUUCAUAUUCGUGGUCACCACCCGCACAGAGCAAUGACAACACAAAUGGCUACAUGCUCGAACGUUCACAAUCUGCCAAGAAUACAUGGUCCAUGGCGUAUGAAUUAUGCCCUGAAGAGGAACAAGAAGAGACCAACGAGUCGGAUAUCGAGCCAACCGAUGAGACGCAACGACAGCAACAACAAAUUACACAAACCCUGCAGACACCCGCCGUGGGUGAUGCGCUUACAAGUGAUACAGUACCGGCAAGUCCAGCACACAAACCGUUUAUUGUGGGCAUGGCUCCGGGUUGCACCAUUGACUGGUCUGCUGCGAAUACAUUUUCGGUUGAUAGUCAAACAGCAACAACUACGACCACUUCUACCACAAGCAGUGGAAGUGGUGUUGGCGUCGGCGUCGGCGUCGGCAUUGGUGUUGGCGGCGGAACUAGCAGUAGUGUUGUGACAGCUGUAAAUAGCACUGAACCACAGCAAGCCGCAACAGAUGCGAAUAUAAAUGGCUUGACGGCGAACGUGAAGCAGCUGGCACUCUCUCCAAAAACGGUAAUUCCCCCCUAAAAGUCGACAGUAGCAUUUCUAAUGUACUCGUACACUCCUAAGCAUACCAGAGCAGCGGUCCACCAGCGGCGGCAUUGGUGAGACGACAAUGACUUCAAUGACGACGAUGAUGACUGGCCAAGACAUCGAAAACUCAAAGCAAG